CCUACGGGGGGCAGCAGUAGGGAAUCUUCCACAAUGGGCGAAAGCCUGCUGGAGCAACGCCGCGUGGGUGAAGAAGGUCUUCGGAUCGUAAAACCCUGUUGUUAGAGAAGAAAGUGCGUGAGAGUAACUGUUCACGUUUCGACGGUACCUACCCAGCAAGCCACGGCUAACUACGUGCCAGCAGCCGCGGUAAUACGUAGGUGGCAAGCGUUAUCCGGACUUAUUGGGCGUAAAGGGAACGCAGGCAGUCUUUUAAGUCUGAUGUGAAAGCCUUCGGCUUAACCGGGGUAGUGCAUUGGAAACUGGGAGACUUGAGUGCAGAAGAGGAGAGUGGAACUCCAUGUGUAGCGGUGAAAUGCAGAGAUAUCACGCAGAACUCCGGUUGCGAAGGCAGCCUACCGGCGCUCAACUGACGCUGAGGCACGAAAGCGUGGGGAUCGAACAGGAUUAGAUACCCUUGUAGUC
Molecule: ribosomal RNA, 465 nt
Filed under: uncultured bacterium
Lineage: Bacteria
Description: partial 16S ribosomal RNA
Rfam family: Bacterial small subunit ribosomal RNA
Source: RNAcentral